AGAAGAGAGAAGGAGAAGGAGAGAGAGAGAAAGAGAAGGAGAGAGAAGGAGAGAGAGCGAUAGAAGGAGAGAGAUAGAGAGAGAGAGAGAGAAAGAGAAGGAGAGAGAAGGAGAGAGAAAGAGAAGGAGAGAGAGAGAAAGAGAAGGAGAGAGAAGGAGAGAGAGAGAGCGAAAGAAGGAGAGAGAGAGAGAGAAAGAGAGCGAGAGAAAGAUUGUGAAAGAGAGUGAUAGAAAGAGAGAAAGAGAAGGAGAGAGUAGGAGAGAGAGAGAAGGAGAGAGAGCGAGAGAAGUAGAGAGAGCCAGAGAAGGAGAGAUAGUGAUAG
This 323-nucleotide long non-coding RNA is filed under the name Salmo salar (Atlantic salmon). RNAcentral describes it as "lncRNA (ENSSSAG00000086778.1, ENSSSAG00000107525.1)". The record is from RNAcentral. Lineage: Eukaryota; Metazoa; Chordata; Actinopteri; Salmoniformes; Salmonidae.